GCCGGGAUGGCGGAAUGGCAGACGCGGCGGACUUAAAAUCCGCUACUUUAAAAGGUGUGUGGGUUCGAGUCCCUCUCCCGGCACCA
Molecule: transfer RNA, 86 nt
Filed under: Chloroflexota bacterium
Lineage: Bacteria; Bacillati; Chloroflexota
Also listed under: 2 other names
Description: Chloroflexi bacterium tRNA-Leu
Rfam family: tRNA
About the family: Transfer RNA (tRNA) molecules are approximately 80 nucleotides in length. Their secondary structure includes four short double-helical elements and three loops (D, anti-codon, and T loops).
Source: RNAcentral